This 138-nucleotide small nuclear RNA is filed under the name Capsella rubella. Its description in RNAcentral is "U11 spliceosomal RNA". It matches the Rfam family "U11 spliceosomal RNA". Lineage: Eukaryota; Viridiplantae; Streptophyta; Magnoliopsida; Brassicales; Brassicaceae. The record is from Rfam by way of RNAcentral.
AAAAAGGGUCGGAUGGCUAUUUAUGCCACGCUCAGCCCGAGUUAAUAAGGGGUGAGUGCUGUAUGGCAGAAUCAAGACAUAUGGCCGACAUUAUUUCUGGAACUACCCAUAGGGUUGGCUCGCUCGGCCGACCCUCCA